AAUUACAAUUUCCACCCGGGCGGCGGACUGAAUCCUUUGCAGACGACUUAAAUACGCGACGGGGUAUUGUAAGUGGCAGAGUGGCCUUGCUGCCACGAUCCACUGAGAUUCAGCCCUUCGUCGCUCCGAUUCGU
Molecule: non-coding RNA, 134 nt
Filed under: Ricinus communis (castor bean)
Lineage: Eukaryota; Viridiplantae; Streptophyta; Magnoliopsida; Malpighiales; Euphorbiaceae
Description: Eukaryotic large subunit ribosomal RNA
Rfam family: Eukaryotic large subunit ribosomal RNA
Source: Rfam by way of RNAcentral